GGUAAACGCUGGCGGCGUGCCUAAAACAUGCAAGUCGAACGGACACUCGCAAGGGUGUCAGUGGCAGACGGACUGAGUAACGCGUGGGUGACGUGCCGAUAGGUGGGGAAUAACUGCCCGAAAGGGUGGCUAAUACCGCAUACGUCCACUGAUUCAGUUCAGUGGGGAAAGCUUCGCAAGAGGCGCCGAUAGAGCGGCCCGCGUUCGAUUAGCUAGUUGGUGGGGUAACGGCCUACCAAGGCGACGAUCGAUAGCUGGUCUCAGAGGAUGAUCAGCCAGACUGGGACUGAGACACGGCCCAGACUCCUACGGGAGGCAGCAGGUUAGGAAUUUUGGGCAAUGGGCGCAAGCCUGACCCAG
RNAcentral lists this ribosomal RNA (360 nucleotides) under uncultured bacterium. Its description in RNAcentral is "bacterial SSU rRNA". It matches the Rfam family "Bacterial small subunit ribosomal RNA", at positions 28 to 391 of the family's 1533-position model. The record is from RNAcentral.